RNAcentral lists this non-coding RNA (115 nucleotides) under unclassified sequences. RNAcentral describes it as "EGFOA RNA". It matches the Rfam family "EGFOA RNA". The record is from Rfam by way of RNAcentral.
AGCUACCUCGAUUCCUUAGUUCCCCGUCCUGGCGUGGCGACGAUGAGAACCUAUGUGAUAAGGUACCAGAUAAAGACAGACCGAGGCUGGUUCGCUUUAAGCGAGAAUCAUCGUA